AUAAAAGACAUAUAUACGUGUGUAUAUGUAUGAGUUAUAAAAUAUAUACAAAUAAAAAUAAUAAUAUGGGGUAACUUUUAAGUAAUAAUACAUGAUAAUUUUAGAAUAAUAAUACAUAUUAAAAUAAUAUAUACAUAUAUAAAGAUAAAGAAAUAAAAUAAUCUAUAAUAAUAGGAGUAAUAAUAAUUAAUAGCAAACUAAAAACGCAAAAGGGAUUAAAUCAAUGUCUAACCUAAAUUUAAGGGAAAGAAAAUGAAAUUAAAUAUCGUUUGGGGGCCAGGUUAAAACACGCACAAAAACAAGGAUCUAAACAAUAAAUAUCCCUAUCCACACUAUGCGCGGGGUUUCAAUAGGGACUAAAGUGAAGCAACUAUAAAGGUACGGGGCGCGAUUCAUUAAUAAAAAAAAGGUGAAUUGCAAUAUGCACGAAAAUUGGAGGGACCAAGGCCGAAAAUAAUCCAUUGCUACAAAAGCGCGGAUCCUUCCCUUGGGUCGGGUCACCGCGUGGAUCUCGGCCCUAUACGACGCCGCUUUGAAGCCAUUGAAAUGGCAUCAAACGACGUCGUUUCACGCCACAUAUAUGGUUCAACAUAAACCCUAAACAUCAACAGACACUCCUUUUUAAAAAAACAUAGCAACCCUAAAGUCUACCCUUUGCGCCGCUCUGCUGCUUUCGGACUCACCAUGGCUCUGAUUACGACGGAGUUCGGCGGCUCCGAUGACAAGGUCUUGACGAGGCAAGUCAGAGGAACAGACCCUGGCCCUUGCCAUUUUGGUGCAACGGGUGAAGACGUCGUCAUCAAGCGUGGUGCGCGCCGAUGGCAUACAUGGGGCAGUUGCGGCGCGAGGAAAGACAGGGAACCCUAGGGUUCCCUGAUGCUGUUUAGUUUUUGGGCCCCAUUGGGCCGUUUAGGGUUUUGAAAAUUGGGCCAUUUUUGCCCGUUGUACAUGGACUGUUAUUUUUGGCUGUUUAUUUUUUUGGUUUUAUUUCGGGCCCAGGCUAAAUUGGGCCUCUACACAAAUGUGACCACGUUUUGAACUACGACUUUCGAAGUUGACGUUGGGGUAUGUAAAUGGUAUCAUAAAACUUUUUGUUUGA
This is a long non-coding RNA of Gossypium raimondii (Peruvian cotton), 1099 nucleotides long. RefSeq lists it as uncharacterized. The record is from RefSeq and is a predicted model, not a curated record. The transcript is spliced from 2 exons. Lineage: Eukaryota; Viridiplantae; Streptophyta; Magnoliopsida; Malvales; Malvaceae.